Molecule: ribosomal RNA, 153 nt
Filed under: Triticum aestivum (bread wheat)
Lineage: Eukaryota; Viridiplantae; Streptophyta; Magnoliopsida; Poales; Poaceae
Description: partial small subunit ribosomal RNA
Source: RNAcentral
AUGGCCUGGACACUAUGGCGCCACUGCAACGCGGCCAUCUUCGACAAGAUCACUCCUUCUACCUCAACCAUUAUCACCACAAUCAAGGACGAUGCUCGCUCCUGGUCCAUUGCCCGAGACAAAGGACUUAGCGAUUUUAUCCCUGUAACUUGA